Long non-coding RNA from Tupaia belangeri chinensis (Chinese tree shrew), 592 nucleotides. RefSeq lists it as uncharacterized. The record is from RefSeq and is a predicted model, not a curated record. Lineage: Eukaryota; Metazoa; Chordata; Mammalia; Scandentia; Tupaiidae. The transcript has 3 exons.
UGAGCCACUAUUUGCAUUGAGCUCAUGAAGGAGAGACACCCCCGCCUGUAGUCUUGAAGAGAAUGCUUCUCUGCCUUCUGAAGGAUCCUGUGGAUCACUCUCCGAAGGCAAUACUGUAACCUGGUCCAUGUGCUUGCCCAAGGGGUGCCAUGCACAGAGCCAUCCGCACACAGGCCGCUCCUUGAGUUCACAGAGCCCUGAGUAAUCAUCCCACCACCACCAAAGAGCCUCAGGGGCUGGAAACUCCAACGGCUUCUAGAUCAGGCAGGGAUCAAAUCGGAGUACCUGGUUUCCAGUACAAACCCAGUGCGCAUGCUGGCACCUGGUUUAUCUGCUGACAGAACACCCAAGGAGGGCGUGAGGAGCCUGGCUCUUCCCCUGAGUGGAUCUUCUCUAGGAAUAAAGCCCUGAAAAAGAAGGCAGUUUUGGAACAACAAGAAGACAAGAUAGAGAAACGGCAGAUGUAAACCCAACCAAACCAUUGAUUACAUCAAACAUGAGUGCACCAAACACUUGAGAAGAAGAAAAAAGGAAGACCCAACUACGUGCUACUUAAAAAGAGGAGUAAUAAUAUUUGAAGAAAUAAUGAAUA